CUGUGCUGUGACAUCCACCUCUUGCUAUGGAAAUACAUGGCCAUGCAGUGGAAUGUGGAAGAUGAAAAGAUUCCAGACUCUACAGACACCCACAAAACCAAGAACCUCUGAAUAAUGACAUUACAGACGUACUGCUUGUGCAUCAGUCCUAGCCCAGAUAAGAAGGGAAUCCUGAAGAAAUGGCUAUACUGCUUCUCAUGAGACGAGACAUGCAAAGAAAAUAAACAAUGCGAUGAUAACCAAACAAGUACUACAUGAGGAACUGAAAGUGGGAAAAUGAAAACAAGGAGAACAGAGAAAAACAGAACACCAGACAAUGUUAUAUUCAAACUGAAAACGGGAUUUCUGAGCCCUUUGACUUUUUCUGGAUGCAGCAGAAGAAUAGGAAAUGAGCUGUCUUCACUGGAUCAUGGAUGAGAUGCCGAAGAGUAUUCAAGAAGCAAGGCCUGGACCUAUCAACAACUGCCACGUAGAGCCAUAGCUGUGACACCCAAGGCAGAUAAAAGGUGGUCACUUUGAAUCGAGAUAAAGGAAGCAGAGAAGAAGAGCAAGAGGAAAGCAGCAUUCAGAGGGAAGCAGUGGAUGAAGCUGCACUGAAGAGAAGCAGCAUGAAAGAAGCAGCUUUGGGGCAAAUGGCAUUCAACUAACAACUAAAAACUAAAUAAACCUUUCCACAGUAA
This is a long non-coding RNA of Ornithorhynchus anatinus (platypus), 680 nucleotides long. RefSeq lists it as uncharacterized. The transcript is spliced from 4 exons. Lineage: Eukaryota; Metazoa; Chordata; Mammalia; Monotremata; Ornithorhynchidae. The record is from RefSeq and is a predicted model, not a curated record.